UGGGGUGUGGUUCAGUGGAACAGCACUUGUCUAGUAUGCAUGAUGCCCUGGACUCAAUCCCCAGCACUACAA
This 72-nucleotide transfer RNA is filed under the name Heterocephalus glaber (naked mole-rat). It matches the Rfam family "tRNA". Rfam says of the family: Transfer RNA (tRNA) molecules are approximately 80 nucleotides in length. The record is from Rfam by way of RNAcentral. Lineage: Eukaryota; Metazoa; Chordata; Mammalia; Rodentia; Bathyergidae.